ACUCCUACGGGAGGCAGCAGUAGGGGAAUCUUCCACAAUGGGCGCAAGCCUGAUGGAGCAACACCGCGUGAGUGAAGAAGGGUUUCGGCUCGUAAAGCUCUGUUGUUAAAGAAGAACACGUAUGAGAGUAACUGUUCAUACCGUUGACGGUAUUUAACCAGAAAGUCACGGCUAACUACGUGCCAGCAGCCGCGGUAAUACGUAGGUGGCAAGCGUUAUCCGGAUUUAUUGGGCGUAAAGAGAGUGCAGGCGGUUUUCUAAGUCUGAUGUGAAAGCCUUCGGCUUAACCGGAGAAGUGCAUCGGAAACUGGAUAACUUGAGUGCAGAAGAGGGUAGUGGAACUCCAUGUGUAGCGGUGGAAUGCGUAGAUAUAUGGAAGAACACCAGUGGCGAAGGCGGCUACCUGGUCUGCAACUGACGCUGAGACUCGAAAGCAUGGGUAGCGGACAGGAUUAGAUACCCUGGUAGCUCGAUG
RNAcentral lists this ribosomal RNA (475 nucleotides) under uncultured bacterium. Its description in RNAcentral is "bacterial SSU rRNA". It matches the Rfam family "Bacterial small subunit ribosomal RNA", at positions 335 to 799 of the family's 1533-position model. The record is from RNAcentral.